AGUAACACGUGGAUAACCUACCUAUAAGACUGGGAUAGCUUCGGGAAACCGGAGCUAAUACCGGAUAAUAUUUUGAACCGCAUGGUUCAAAAGUGAAAGACGGUCUUGCUGUCACUUAUAGAUGGAUCCGCGCUGCAUUAGCUAGUUGGUAAGGUAACGGCUUACCAAGGCAACGAUGCAUAGCCGACCUGAGAGGGUGAUCGGCCACACUGGAACUGAGACACGGUCCAG
Molecule: ribosomal RNA, 231 nt
Filed under: uncultured Staphylococcus sp.
Lineage: Bacteria; Bacillati; Bacillota; Bacilli; Caryophanales; Staphylococcaceae
Description: partial 16S ribosomal RNA
Rfam family: Bacterial small subunit ribosomal RNA
Source: RNAcentral